CUUUCUAGAGAUCCCUUUUCUGUGGAGUCUUUCUUGCUAACCUAGAUCUUUGAAUGCAGGUUACUAGUGGUACAGCAGGAAUGUGAUAACUUCCAUGCUAUGCAUAAAGUUGAAAAGAGAUGCUGAGUGAUUUCCAUAAGCAGGAAGAGGCUCUACCUUGUCUCUUCCCUCCUUACUAGAACCUGGUUUUCUGCUUUGUAUCUCAGCCGUCAAGAGACAUUUUUUUCUUUUCUGGGAGCAGAGUAACCCAAUUUUAGUCAUAAAACUUCACUGUAUACAGCAGGAGCUCUUUUUAAAGAACACUGUAAAUGCAGACCCUGGGGAGGAAGGAAUGACUAAAUGACACAGAAAAUUUGCACUUUACUCAAGGCAGUGGGAGUAGUGUGAGCUCUCUGUCUAUUACAAGGGACCAUGGGAGAGGACUGAGCACAGAAGAGUUUUGGGAUGUCAAGUCUCCAGAUGGUAACAGUCAGAGGUGAGAGGUGUUAAUUAGGCAGCCCUGCCUUGGAGCAAGCCCCAGCUCUCUUUCACUGAUGGUUCACACAGAAUAAUGCAUUAUCCGGUACUGCUCUUUGACUGGCACAAACAAGAUAAAGAAUGGAAUUUUUUACAUCCUUCCCUCCAGAUAACAUAUCAUACUUUGAAUGUAAUGAAAUAUUUGUAUUGUUUUUUUUUUUUUCUUUUCUGAGGACAACAGGUCAAGAAACAAGAUUUAAACAUAGUGCUGAGACAUGAGUAUUGGAAAAUAUGGAAAUCUAAGACCAAAACUCUUGGACUUAAGCGUGUGAUGAGUUCUUAUUCCAGCAUACCACAACGAUUACUGUGAGAUAGAAAUGAUCCCAUGUGCAGAUGUCCCAGGCAGGACCUCAGCACAUCAGUGCUGUAGGAGGCACUUGGGAAGAAUAGAAACUGCAGGGUGCUUUCUUCUUUUCACACAUCUCCAGAACUUGGCUGAUGUUUUUAGGCUGAAGGGCAAUAUUCCUUGUAUUGUGGCAAUGGCAAGCUAUGCUGUUUUCAAAAGCUGAGCUACUGCCUUAAGUGUUACAGGCUACAAGGGGGAAAUUAUUAUUUUUUUUUUUCAGGGUGAGAAGAGUUAAGCUCUUGAUUUUAUUUUAUUUUUAUUUUUUUAAUGGAGCUCAGUUUGGCUAUCAAGAUAUUUUUUUCUUGCUCUUUCACCUGCAGACAAUUAUGGCUAGAAAUGCAUUUUAUUUCUUUCACUGGUCAAGGGCUAAGCAUCUAUUUGUUGGCACAGUCAGAAAAGUAUCUAUCCAAGUAAUAUAAAACAAUUGUAAAGAUAUUUGCAGCCCACUUUAUUUGCUAUUACAAUAAAACUGAGAGAAUGUGAGGAAUGAGGUCUGACUUGAUCUUUGAGCAGAGCAAGUUUCUAGAAAAUACACUUCAAUUUCUUUCCUCUUCCUAUUUGAAAGGACUGAGGUAGAAUAAGUCUAUUCUACAUCAAAGUUAACCAACAUGUAGAACCUGCAGAAGGAAUUAUCAGAUGUAACAAUAUUAUGAACUCCACUUCAUCUUGGUUGUUAAAAAAAAAAAAAAAAGAUUGGAUCUAACUGAUGGAGGCCAGGAAGAAGUAGUGCAAAAGCAAACCACAGCUCCUCAGAAGAAAAAGAAUACUUGAAAGACAAUGGCACAAAUAAGUUUUUACUACCUUUCUGGUUUUAUACUGUUGUGGGUUGCAGCAGCUUGAAGGCAGAAGAUGUGUGUGAAGUUAGCACAGAGGACAGCACAGGGCUGAGAGCCCAACUCUUCUUGACCAGAGAGAUCAAGGAUCUGGAGACAUUCUUAUGAUUACAACAGUCAGGUCUCAAAUGCUGCAUGCUCCAGAUGACAUGAGUACAAACCUGCCAGAAGGGUUAUGCUUCAGCAACAUCAAAUCCUGCUGGCCAUGUCUACUUGCAUAGGUAUAAAUUAAAUGUGAAUCAUCUAGUUAAUGCAGGCAUUAAUCAUCAUGUCAGUGUCACAGUGAACAGCAUUUGACCUUCCAUUGCACUUCCGGAUGCUCCUACCAUGCUACAACUUCACCAUGGAAAUGCUGAUGGUGCACCAUAAGCUUUUUGGGAACUGCAGUUCAUCACCAACGCUGCUUUAGGAAACAGGAGAAGCCCAGAUACUACUACUGUGAUGUGCUGAUGGAUGAGAGUCUGCAUGACAAGCGAUGAAAUACAAUGAGACACGUACAGAAUUAAGCUGUUGUUAAACCCAUCGUCUGCUCAGACUGGACAGAUCAAACAGAAACUGGAACAGAAAAGUGAGCCCUUGUGCAGUAAAUAUCAAAAAUAGAGGGAAGACAAGAUAAAGUUACAAGACCUUGCCACCUCAACAGUCCGUGAUUAUAUCACCAGCUGAGACAUGUGCUGGAGAGGAAUAAAGUGAGCUGGAGCCAGAUAAUAACAUUUUUCCAUUCACAGGGAGUGUGUGAAUCUCCUUGUGGAACAAAAUGCCUGAAAUCAUUGGAUUCCAGGGUAGCUCAGCGUAUGACAGACUCAAGCGUAUGAUUGCAGCUCUUAAAGUGUAAUGAGACCCAACUGUACAGUGAAACAUUUCCAGACAUACAUAUGUGAUACAGGAAGAAUCAGGUGCAAAAAUUUCUCUGUUGUCUGGUCAUAAGCUGCAAAAAAAUAUUCUCUGUAAAAUGUAAAAAUCCAGUGAAAUCUCUAACACAAAACUUUGUUUAUGUUCACAUGCACCACACUUCUCUUUAGAGUUUAAGUAUCUUCAGAGUGAAAGUUGUGAGUUUUGGGUUGUUCUGGAUUUGUUGGUGGUUUUUUUUGUUUGUUCUUUUGUUUUUGCUUUGUUUUUAAUAAUACAUGCACAGAAGAAGGGACUUGAAUCCUCCUGUUCAGGAAGAAAAAAAAGAAUUUUCAUACUUGUUAAUACAUGAAUGUUUAUAUAAAUCCAGAGUUGUACUGCACUUUCAAUAGCAUUAUGCUCAGCUGAGUGGCACCAUCAUAAGAGAGCCCCACGUUCACCAAUGGCUUGUGGAAGAGAGAGGAUAGCAAGGAGAAGGCACAACAGGUACUAAGAAAUGACAGACAUUUGAAAAAGCAGGUAACAUUGAAAAAGUGUUGUAAGAUAAGCGAUUCAGAGUAACUGACCAUAAUUUCAAUAGCCAGUUUAGCUGCAUGGGACUAAAUCCAUCCACCAUGCGGUAUGCGUAUGAUAGGUAGGUACUGCCCUCUUUUUGUAUCUUGUCUUCUAGGAACACUAUGCUAAAGUAAUAAAAUAGUUCAGCAGUUGGAGGCAAGGCAGAGGUUUUUGGGGAGAAGCCAAUGUCUGUGGAUGGCCAGACUGGAUUAGGACAGUGUUUCGAAUGGCAUAAACACCUUGGUGUCACUGGAGUACAUGAUGUCAAGGACAUUCUACAUUUGAAAUUUUAUAAAAAUCACUGUUUUCUCUCAAAAGUUCUUUUAAGCUUAGUUUCAGCAAAAACUUAUGCUUUCUGGCAGCAAUCCCAAAUGGUUUUAGAAGGACUGCUAUUCACCAUUAUUGUUUGAAAAAACAAUUUUUUUUUAUUAUUCUUAUUAUUGUUUGAAGAAGUUCUAGCUUAAAAUUGUCCAGUCUUUACAACUUUUCACAAGACUAUAAGACAGCUCUCUGGAGAUCAUCAUUUUUUUUCACUAAUCUUGCAGCUGUUAAUCCCUUGGAUUUUCAGCCACAUAGAAUUAGAGACCAGGUAUUCUAUGAAGAAUGAUUAAGUUGUCCAUACAAAACUCAGACAAGGAAUUUCAAUAAAUAAAUAAAAAGACAGAAAGCAAAGAGAAAAAUGAGGAAGAUAGAGAAAAAUGAGGAAGAUAAAAGAUUUUAGUGGAAUACAAUUCUAACAUCUCCUGUUUCUUUAAAAUCAAUACUCCUCAUUUCAGUGGAGAAAAGUUUGUUUGUUUGUUAAACUGGACACAAUCUGAUUACAGGAAAUUUCACUCAUACAGAAAGAUUUAUGGAUUUGAUGUUGUACUGAUUGCACUCUAAGUAGACUAGCAUAGACUUCCGGUGCAUAUUUCUGUGUUCACCCCCAGUGACUCAACAGAAGCAAAAAAAGUCCAUAUACUCUUUCAAAAUACCAGGUAGAUGUGAGAAAUGUUAUAUGUGAAUUAGAAAAGAAGAAAAACUAGUUUUAAAAUCUUGAACAAACCCAGAUUAAGAUUCCAGUAACGCAGUGGCAAAUUGCAAGAAUGUUCUGAUCCAAAAAGAAAUUUCCCAAGAGUAACGUUGAUUUUAUGCAUGGAAGUUAAAGGGUGAAGCAGGUUUGAGAAAGGCAAAACUGGCAGCAGUAUUAAAUCACGGGCUUAAGUUGCUCAUUUGUAUGAAACAGUAGCUCAUAUUGUAGAUGUAUAUAAAAUACAUGUAGUUCACAGAAGCAAAGUGAAAAUGAGUUUGCAAAGUGUUAAUGAGAUCUUCCUAAAGUCAGCCAGUCUUUGGUAGUCUGGAAGAGAGGAUAAAAUGCAAGUAUUAGCUGCUAAGUUCUGAAAUGACUAAUUUUAGCAUAGUCUUUCUGAUCAUGUGAUGCACAUUCUACUAGUGAAAUCAGAAUUGUGUAUAUACUUGCAAAGUAUUUUUAGAAAGCUAUGAAGAAUUAUCUGGAGGCAAAUUGGAGGAGAGAAUUGCCCUAAAUUAUGCAAAUAUUUUAAUAUGAUGUGAUUUAUCUGAGAAAAUUCACUGGAAGAAUAACUACAGUCUCUAAAAAGGCUACAGUAAAUCACUGUAUAAAUUUUCCAUUCUGUAUAUUGUUCAUAGCUAGGUUUGUCAUUUAAUUUCUACAAGCACUGUGAAAAAUCACUUAGCCUGGGAGGUUUUCAAGGCCUCUAUUACUUUUUGCAAACUUAAAAUCCCUAUGUGAUUCCGUACCCCAAACUGCAGUUCUGCUGUUAAAGCUGUGAGUUUUUUCUCUUGUGCUCUUGCUGCUGUCAUAAUUAUUUCAAGGCUAAAGGAAGCAUCCUGAUUAUCAAGUUCAAAUGUAAGUUUUUGAUAGAACAGCAGACUACUGCUCUGUUUCUGGAGACCCUCCUGGCUCUGCUUUCAAAGGGUUUCUGCCUAACUCCCAAGCUGCGCCUGGUCAUUGUUACUGAAUGAAGAAGGAAGUGAUGAUCUGUGCAAAAUGGCCUGUUGCCUGUUGGUGUCCAGUGCUUUUUCCUUUUCCCAGCCCACAUUGUUUUCAGGGUGAAUUUUGUGAGGUAGUGCUUUAUUUCCAAAGCACUUAUGAGAGAGCUCAAGUUCUGUAACCACUUUCUAUGAAAUAAUCAGAAAUUUUAAACUGUUAACUUCUAAGAUAUUCCUAAGAUAUUGAUCCUGGUGAUGACAUAACCUUUUAUUUUUCCAAAUGUAAUAACAGGUAAGUGUUUAACAUUCACUUAAGACUUUAGGAGUCUAAGGUAUUCAACAAUCUGAAAUCUGAUUUGUUGCAGUAUGAAGAACAGAAAACAACUAAGAGAUCAGGAUGGUAGGUAGAGAAAGGAAUAAUAAUUACAGCAAGGGCAGAAAGAAUAGAGAUAAAUGCCUGCAUCAACUCUAAUGUGGUGAAAGACCUGAAUCCAGAAAGGUACAGAAAAGUCCAUUGAAAUGAAUGUUAGUUUUCGUGGUUUUAUACAGAAUAAUGUGAAUAAUCCAUGUAAUGAAAUGGUAUCAUACAAAACAUCACAGUCUGAUCAGGAUUAAAUUAGUACUUUUCUUCCUCUUAUGUCAUUUCAAUCUUUAUUAAAAAUCGGGGAAAAUAUAGUUUUACAGCUAUAGUUUCUUGUUAUUGCCAAUGGAAAGGAUGGCUAUUAUAAAAAAUUAAAAAUAAUUUUAAAAAGUAGAGGAACACUCAUAAAUGUGAUUAACAUUGCAGGAACGGUUAUAAAAUCUCUGUAGUAAAAUCAAC
This is a long non-coding RNA of Lagopus muta (rock ptarmigan), 5869 nucleotides long. RefSeq lists it as uncharacterized. The record is from RefSeq and is a predicted model, not a curated record. The transcript is spliced from 6 exons. NCBI's taxonomy places the organism in Eukaryota, Metazoa, Chordata, Aves, Galliformes, Phasianidae.